RNAcentral lists this long non-coding RNA (685 nucleotides) under Arabidopsis lyrata. RNAcentral describes it as "long non-coding RNA (ALYR_LNC002160)". Lineage: Eukaryota; Viridiplantae; Streptophyta; Magnoliopsida; Brassicales; Brassicaceae. The record is from RNAcentral.
CUUAGAAAUUUCUCGAUUUUUGUGUGUGUUUAGAUCGAACCAGGGUUUACUAAAUUGUUAUUGUUUCUGUUUAAAGGCUAUAUCUAUGGGUUCUAUUAGAGGAAACGUUGAAGAACCUAUAUCUCAGUCGUUAACUAGGCAAAACUCUCUCUAUAGCUUAAAGCUCCAUGAGGUUCAAACCCACUUAGGCAGUUCUGGAAAACCACUAGGAAGCAUGAACCUUGAUGAGCUUCUCAAGACUGUCUUGUCUCCAGCUGAGGAAGGGCUUGUUCGUCAGGGAAGCUUGACGUUGCCUCGAGAUCUUAGUAAAAAGACAGUUGAUGAGGUCUGGAGAGAUAUCCAACAGGACAAGGAUGGAAACAGUACCAGUACUACUACUACUCAUAAGCAGCCUACACUCGGUGAAAUCACUCUUGAGGAUUUGUUGUUGAGAGCUGGUGUAGUGACUGAGACAAUAGUCCCUCAAGAAAAUGUUGUUAACAUAGCUUCAAAUGGGCAAUGGGUUGAGUAUCAUCAUCAGCCUCAACAACAACAAGGGUUUAUGACAUAUCCGGUUUGUGAGAUGCAAGAUAUGGUGAUGAUGGGUGGAUUAUCGGAUACACCACAAGCGCCUGGAAGGAAAAGAGUAGCUGGAGAGAUUGUGGAGAAGACUGUUGAGAGGAGACAGAAGAGAAUGAUCAAGAAC